This 420-nucleotide ribosomal RNA is filed under the name uncultured Bacillus sp. Its description in RNAcentral is "bacterial SSU rRNA". It matches the Rfam family "Bacterial small subunit ribosomal RNA", at positions 948 to 1363 of the family's 1533-position model. Lineage: Bacteria; Bacillati; Bacillota; Bacilli; Caryophanales; Bacillaceae. The record is from RNAcentral.
UAUCGGGGGGGGACGCGAAGAACCUUACCAGGUCUUGACAUCUCCUGACCGCCCUGGAGACAGGGUCUUCCCUUCGGGGACAGGAUGACAGGUGGUGCAUGGUUGUCGUCAGCUCGUGUCGUGAGAUGUUGGGUUAAGUCCCGCAACGAGCGCAACCCUUGGUUCUAGUUGCCAGCAUUCAGUUGGGCACUCUAGAGCGACUGCCGGCGACAAGUCGGAGGAAGGUGGGGAUGACGUCAAAUCAUCAUGCCCCUUAUGACCUGGGCUACACACGUGCUACAAUGGAUGGUACAAAGGGCAGCAAAGCGGCGACGCAUGAGCGAAUCCCAGAAAACCAUUCUCAGUUCGGAUUGCAGGCUGCAACUCGCCUGCAUGAAGCCGGAAUCGCUAGUAAUCGCGGAUCAGCAUGCCGUUCGACCU